Molecule: ribosomal RNA, 932 nt
Filed under: uncultured bacterium
Lineage: Bacteria
Description: bacterial SSU rRNA
Rfam family: Bacterial small subunit ribosomal RNA
Source: RNAcentral
CCGGAGUCUGAGGAAAUGCAGACUCUCUGACGGUACCGGAGGAGGAANCCCNGNCUAACUACGUGCCAGCAGCCGCGGUAAUACGUAGGGGGCAAGCGUUGUCCGGAUUCACUGGGCGUAAAGCGCGCGCAGGCGGUGAUGUAAGUCUGAGGUGAAAACCCGAAGCUCAACUUCGGGACUGCCUUGGAUACUGCGUCACUUGAGGAUAGGAGAGGCAAGGGGAAUUCCACGUGUAGCGGUGAAAUGCGUAGAGAUGUGGAGGAACACCUGUGGCGAAGGCGCCUUGCUGGCCUAUUUCUGACGCUGAGGCGCGAAAGCGUGGGGAGCAAACAGGAUUAGAUACCCUGGUAGUCCACGCUGUAAACGAUGAGUGCUAGGUGUAGGUGGGCUCAUACCCAUCUGUGCCGAAGCUAACGCAUUAAGCACUCCGCCUGGGGAGUACGGUCGCAAGACUGAAACUCAAAGGAAUUGACGGGGGCCCGCACAAGCAGUGGAGCAUGUGGUUUAAUUCGAAGCAACGCGAAGAACCUUACCAGGACUUGACAUCCCAUAGACCAGCUUAGAGAUAGACUUUCCCUUCGGGGCUGUGGUGACAGGUGGUGCAUGGUUGUCGUCAGCUCGUGUCGUGAGAUGUUGGGUUAAGUCCCGCAACGAGCGCAACCCUUACUUUGUGUUGCCAGCAUUCAGUUGGGCACUCACAAGGGACUGCCGCCGAUAAGGCGGAGGAAGGUGGGGAUGACGUCAAAUCAUCAUGCCCCUUAUGUCCUGGGCUACACACGUGCUACAAUGGGCGGUACAACGGGAUGCGAAGCCGCGAGGUGGAGCCAAACCCUGAAAACCGUUCGUAGUUCGGAUUGUAGGCUGCAACUCGCCUACAUGAAGCCGGAAUUGCUAGUAAUCGCGGAUCAGCAUGCCGCGGUGAAUACGUUCCC